GCUCCAAUAGCGUAUAUUAAAGUUGUUGCAGUUAAAAAGCUCGUAGUUGGAUUUUGGGGCGUGCGCGCUGGUCGGCCGCAAGGUCGCACUGGCGGUUGCGCGCCUCCCCUCCGAAGGCUGCGUGUGCCUUAACUGGGCGUGCGUAGGGUUCGGGACGUUACUGUGAGAAAAUUAGAGUGUUCAAAGCAGGCUUAUGCUUG
This 200-nucleotide ribosomal RNA is filed under the name uncultured eukaryote. RNAcentral's name for it is "partial 18S ribosomal RNA". It matches the Rfam family "Eukaryotic small subunit ribosomal RNA", at positions 588 to 797 of the family's 1831-position model. The record is from RNAcentral.